RNAcentral lists this ribosomal RNA (497 nucleotides) under uncultured bacterium. RNAcentral's name for it is "partial 16S ribosomal RNA". It matches the Rfam family "Bacterial small subunit ribosomal RNA", at positions 28 to 507 of the family's 1533-position model. The record is from RNAcentral.
GAUGAACGCUGGCGGCGUGCCUAAUACAUGCAAGUCGAGCGAACAUACGAGGAGCUUGCUCCUCUGACGUUAUCGGCGGACGGGUGAGUAACACGUGGAUAACCUACCUAUAAGACUGUUAUAACUUCGGGAAACCGGAGCUAAUACCGGAUAAUAUAUUGAACCUCAUGGUUCAAUAGUGAAAGACGGUUUUGCUGUCACUUAUAGAUGGAUCCGCGCCGCAUUAGCUAGUUGGUAAGGUAACGGCUUACCAAGGCAACGAUGCGUAGCCGACCUGAGAGGGUGAUCGGCCACACUGGAACUGAGACACGGUCCAGACACCGACGGGAGGAAGCAGUAGGGAAUCUUACGCAAUGGGCGAAAGCCUGACGGAGCAAAGCCGCGUGAGUGAUGAAGGUCUUCGGAUCGGAAAACUCUGUUAUUAGGGAAGAACAAAUGUGUAAGUAACUAUGCACGUCUUGACGGUACCUAAUCAGAAAGCCACGGCUAACUACGUG